RNAcentral lists this ribosomal RNA (415 nucleotides) under Kosakonia sp. S57. RNAcentral's name for it is "partial 16S ribosomal RNA". It matches the Rfam family "Bacterial small subunit ribosomal RNA", at positions 1129 to 1533 of the family's 1533-position model. RNAcentral also lists the same sequence under 1 other name. The record is from RNAcentral. Lineage: Bacteria; Pseudomonadati; Pseudomonadota; Gammaproteobacteria; Enterobacterales; Enterobacteriaceae.
GGCCGGGAACUCAAAGGAGACUGCCAGUGAUAAACUGGAGGAAGGUGGGGAUGACGUCAAGUCAUCAUGGCCCUUACGACCAGGGCUACACACGUGCUACAAUGGCGCAUACAAAGAGAAGCAAACUCGCGAGAGCAAGCGGACCUCAUAAAGUGCGUCGUAGUCCGGAUUGGAGUCUGCAACUCGACUCCAUGAAGUCGGAAUCGCUAGUAAUCGUGAAUCAGAAUGUCACGGUGAAUACGUUCCCGGGCCUUGUACACACCGCCCGUCACACCAUGGGAGUGGGUUGCAAAAGAAGUAGGUAGCUUAACCUUCGGGAGGGCGCUUACCACUUUGUGAUUCAUGACUGGGGUGAAGUCGUAACAAGGUAACCGUAGGGGAACCUGCGGUUGGAUCACCUCCUUACCUUAAAGAA